Molecule: ribosomal RNA, 1332 nt
Filed under: Munidopsis lauensis
Lineage: Eukaryota; Metazoa; Arthropoda; Malacostraca; Decapoda; Munidopsidae
Description: 16S ribosomal RNA
Rfam family: Archaeal large subunit ribosomal RNA (bases 635-1332)
Source: RNAcentral
AGAUUAUUUACCUGGGUAAUAAGAGUUAAAAUAAUGAUUAUAAAAGUAAUUUAAAUUUGAUAAAAAAAGUAAAGUGUGAAAAAAUAAGAAGUUGAGAGGUUAUAGUGGAUAAGUAUUGUGAGAGAAAGUUUAAAUAGAGUUGAAAAUUAAGUUUUUAGAAAGAAAUUUAAAUAUUUGUACCUUGUGUAUCAUGGGUUUCUGAAUUUAUGUCUGUAAAAGAGUGGUCUCGAAAAAAAAAGAGCUAUAAUUGUAAAAAAGUUUUUAUUUCAUUAAAAUUUUAAAUAUAAUUUAUAGGAGUGAGAUGCUAUUCGAGUUUUUAUAUCUGGUUAAUUAUGAAAUGAAUUUAAUUCAGGCUAGAGAAAGGCUUAAGGCUUUAGAGUAAGGUUGUAGGGGUAGAGCUCUAUAACCAAAUAUGGCUGUAAUAUGAAUUAGCUUUAGGGUAAAUAAAUUAAGACUGGGCUUAAAGGUAGCCAUGUUUUUAAAGUGUUUUAACUAAUAUUGAAGAAAUAAGUUUUUGUCUAUAUUCUAUUUUGUUAAUAAUUUUUUCUUUUUAAUUUUUUAAGGGUAGAAAUGAUUGGGACAUUAGUAGAGAGUGGUGUAGGAAAAUUGUAGUGUGGAUUUUGUGAUGAUAAUUUAAUUUAAGUAAAAUAAAGCUAUAGGAAUUCAGCAAAUUUUUUUCUUGCCUGUUUAACAAAAACAUGUCUAUGUGAAGUUAUACGAAGUCUGGCCUGCCCAUUGAAUUUAUUUAAAGGCCGCGGUAUUUUGACUGUGCAAAGGUAGCAUAAUAAUUAGUUUUUUAAUUGGGGGCUUGUAUGAAUGGUUGGACAAAGAAAAGCCUGUCUUUAGCUUUUUUUUUGAAUUUUACAUUUAGAUGAAAAGGUCUAAAUGAGUUUAAGGGACGAUAAGACCCUAUAAAGCUUUACAUUUUACUUAUUUUUACUGUGGAGAGGAGGUUAAUCGGUAAGGCUGGGGGAUGGUGUUUUGUUGGGGUGACAAGGAUAUAAAUAAGAAACUGUCCAGUAAAGAAACAAGUAAUAGUUGGAAAAAAAAGAUCCUUUGUGAAGAUAAAAGUUUAAGUUACUUUAGGGAUAACAGCGCUAUUUUUUUUGAGAGUUCUUAUUGAAAAGAAAGUUUGCGACCUCGAUGUUGAAUUAAGGUUUCCUUAUGGUGCAGAAGCUAUAAAGGUGAGUCUGUUCGACUUUUAAAACUUUACAUGAUUUGAGUUCAGACCGGCGUAAGCCAGGUUGGUUUCUAUCUUUUAACAAAAAGAAAGUCUCUUUAGUACGAAAGGACCAAGAUAACUAAAAUAAUUUUAUUUUGAGCAUAAUUUUA